RNAcentral lists this long non-coding RNA (333 nucleotides) under Brassica rapa (field mustard). RNAcentral describes it as "long non-coding RNA (BRAP_LNC006270)". Lineage: Eukaryota; Viridiplantae; Streptophyta; Magnoliopsida; Brassicales; Brassicaceae. The record is from RNAcentral.
AGAAACCAAGUUCACAGCUCGGGGUUGUUGGUUUUCACACGGUCAAGGUGAGGAUUGUUUCCAGUUGCUGAGCACGAGACAUGUUCUCAUAUUUCUACAUUGGUUUCUUGGUAGAUUAGGACAUAGGAUUGGUAUAGCUGUAGAUAAUUAGCAUAUUAGUGAAUGAGUUUUUGAAUUGUUUUGGCAGGAUUUAAUGAGCAACAAUGUGAACAUACAUUUUAAAUGCCAAGGUCGCAUGUAUAGUUUAAUGAUAGUGGAAGAGAUAACUCUGCCAGUGCUAGAAGCAAGGAUAUGCAGAAAGGUUGCGUUGGAUGAAAGUACGGUGAAAUUGAG